GCCGCGGUAAUACGGAGGGGGCUAGCGUUGUUCGGAUUUACUGGGCGUAAAGCGCACGUAGGCGGCGUAUCUAGUCAGAGGUGAAAGCCCGGGGCUCAACCCCGGAACUGCCUUUGAUACUGGUAUGCUUGAGUUCGGAAGAGGGUAGUGGAAUUCCAAGUGUAGAGGUGAAAUUCGUAGAUAUUUGGAAGAACACCGGUGGCGAAGGCGGCUACCUGGUCCGAUACUGACGCUGAGGUGCGAAAGCGUGGGGAGCAAAC
RNAcentral lists this ribosomal RNA (260 nucleotides) under Isochrysis galbana. RNAcentral's name for it is "partial Bacterial small subunit ribosomal RNA". It matches the Rfam family "Bacterial small subunit ribosomal RNA", at positions 514 to 773 of the family's 1533-position model. Lineage: Eukaryota; Haptophyta; Isochrysidales; Isochrysidaceae. The record is from RNAcentral.